Molecule: transfer RNA, 70 nt
Filed under: Dipodomys ordii (Ord's kangaroo rat)
Lineage: Eukaryota; Metazoa; Chordata; Mammalia; Rodentia; Heteromyidae
Rfam family: tRNA
About the family: Transfer RNA (tRNA) molecules are approximately 80 nucleotides in length.
Source: Rfam by way of RNAcentral
GGGAAUGUGGCUUAGUGGUAGAGUGCUUGCCUAGCAUGCAUGAAAUCCUGGGUUCAAUUCCUCGGUACCA